UACGUAGGGUGCGAGCGUUAAUCGGAAUUACUGGGCGUAAAGCGUGCGCAGGCGGUUUUGUAAGCCAGAUGUGAAAUCCCCGGGCUUAACCUGGGAAUGGCAUUUGGGACUGCAAGGCUGGAGUGCGGCAGAGGAGACUGGAAUUCCUGGUGUAGCAGUGAAAUGCGCAGAUAUCAGGAGGAACACCGGUGGCGAAGGCGGGUCUCUGGGCCGAUACUGACGCUGGAGGAGCGAAAGCGUGGGGAGCGAACAGG
This 254-nucleotide ribosomal RNA is filed under the name uncultured bacterium. RNAcentral describes it as "partial 16S ribosomal RNA". It matches the Rfam family "Bacterial small subunit ribosomal RNA", at positions 524 to 776 of the family's 1533-position model. The record is from RNAcentral.